RNAcentral lists this ribosomal RNA (253 nucleotides) under uncultured bacterium. RNAcentral's name for it is "partial 16S ribosomal RNA". It matches the Rfam family "Bacterial small subunit ribosomal RNA", at positions 524 to 776 of the family's 1533-position model. The record is from RNAcentral.
GACGUAGGGGGUGAGCGUUGUCCGGAUUUAUUGGGCGUAAAGAGCGCGUAGGCGGCCCGGAAAGUCGGAUGUGAAAACCCGGGGCUCAACCCCGGGCCUGCAUCCGAUACUCCCGGGCUGGAGGCAGGUAGGGGAGAUCGGAAUUCCUGGUGUAGCGGUGAAAUGCGCAGAUAUCAGGAGGAACACCGGUGGCGAAGGCGGAUCUCUGGGCCUGUCCUGACGCUGAGGCGCGAAAGCUAGGGGAGCGAACAGG